AUGAAAUAAACACAACAGAGAAAGAGAAAAGAGAGGAGAAGAGAAUAAGAAACACAUAACAGAGAAGAGAAAGAGAAAAGAGAGAGGAGAAGAGAAGAGAAUACGUACGGAAAUGGCGACUCCGCACCUUUGCUUGCUAGAUUCAUCCCGGCAAAGCAAAAAAAAAAAAAAAGGAGCACCAGUCUUCACCUGUAGGCUCCAUACUGGUAGCAUCCUUUUCCAGUACCUUUCUUUUUUAUUAGUGUUAAGUAAUUGACCUAUGUAUGGCCUUGAUUUGUAUUUUUCUUUUUUAAAUUUUGAUAAUUGUUUGUUGAAGUAUGCAUAAUUAGUGCGUUUUUUUUUUUCUAAAUUAAUCUUUUUCUGACUUAACAAUAUUCAUUUCCGAAUUUUGUUUAUAAUUCUUUUGUGGCAAGCAUCAGCUGUUGCCUGUUGUUAAGUUUAUGAAUUCUUGAGUUGUCUAUUUCAUGUUUUGUUAACUGUUGAUUGUUAAAUUUAUGUUUUAUUUGUGACAAUAUUUAGAAGUUUUGUUUCUGGUAUCUUUUGUUUGAUUCAUUGAAAUUUAAGAGCCAUUUCUUGUGGUUAUUCUUUCUUUGCAUUUAGUUUUAUAAAAGCUGAGAAUUGUUAUUCAAGGGCUUAUAUAUGCUACUGCUUGCGAGUGAGACCAAUCUUGUCAGACUCUUAAAGUGUUCACGCAAAAUGUUCAAUGUGCAGUUUUUGACGUUUUCCAUUUCAUUUUUCAUACUUUAUUAUCAUUUGUUUCCUUCCAAUUCAGCAUUUUUAUUGUGGGUCAAAUGCUUGAUUAAUGUCCACUGUCUUUCUUUUUUGGUUAAUACCCAUUAUUAAAUAUGAUUGGUAUUUUUCCCUUGACUUUAUAAUUGAGUUCAUUUCAGUUCUGUUACUGUUCCGAUGGCCCAUUUUUCAUUUCAAUAUCAAUCUUGUAUUCUCUUGUUUGAAUCAAUUGUACAAGAAGGUUUCAUUGUAAUGGAGACUGAUUCUUUCCUGUGGUUUUGAUGACAUGCAUUGUUAACUUGCUUCAUUAAUGUUCAAUUAUUUAUUUUUGUUAUGUAGUUUCAGUGUCCUUGCAAAACAUACUAUUUUUUUCUUAGUUUCUGGAGAAUACUUCUGUUUAUGGGUUUAGAUCUUGGUCCAAAUUAGGACAUGGUGUUCUUUUUUUCAAAAAAAUAAUCUUCACUUCCAUAUAAAUUAUGCUGAUUGAUGUUGAUGACAAAAACAUCUCAGCAUCAAUACUCUGUGAUGCUCCUUUUCUGAUUGAUGCCCCGACGACAUAUAUAGGCAAGGCCAACUCCUAUAUUCUUAACUUUUGUGAAUAAUUAUAUUUCUUAGCAGAUUGUUUGUUUAUUCUUUUUUGGAUAUGGUUAUCCAAAUGUAAGAAGCAAUCAUGAUACUAGCUAUCACUAGGCAAUAUGCACUUGUUUUUAAGAGUUCUUCUUUUCUUUUCUUGAACAUAUCAUUUCCUAGAGUUGAUGACUGGGUAUGCACAUUAUAUUCUCAGAAAUUAGAAUUAAUAUGGUGUCAGCAUGCCUUUAUGGACAUGGAGGUCAUGGGAGAUAAUUUGCAGCCAAUUUAUAUGUCGCUUUCUUGAGCAAGUGAUCUAAAAGUAGUUUGCUUGUUUCUUUCCUUGGUAAAGAAAAAAGUACCUUUGGAAGAAGUUUCCAAGUGGGAGACAUAUGAUCGUCACUGCUGCAUGAAAUGAAGGAAAAUUACAGUUCGAGUACCAACUUGCUGGAGAAUCUGCUAAAUUUUUGAUGUGUACUCGUGGAAUCUUGGGCUGGUGUCAUGUUCCUUCCUUGUGACGGCCAAACUUUGAUGAAAAUCAAUUCUAGUUCUGCAGUCGCCCAUGUGGACCAACCGAAAAUAAAUAAAUUCCUGGCGUAAUCAAGCUGAGGAUAUUCUGUUGUUGUGUGAACUGUUUGGUCUCAAGGUUUCUGCAUGACUGAACUUGUUAUUCCCAAUUUACGUUAGUGAUAUUAUUAUUCCCAAUCGGAAAAGGAUAAAAGUGGAUUCUUUCAUCCUCUUUCAAGUCUGUUUAUAUAAUCAGUUUGACUAGCAAAGGUUGGUCAUCGUCCAUUUA
Long non-coding RNA from Ricinus communis (castor bean), 2092 nucleotides. RefSeq lists it as uncharacterized. The record is from RefSeq and is a predicted model, not a curated record. The transcript is spliced from 2 exons. NCBI's taxonomy places the organism in Eukaryota, Viridiplantae, Streptophyta, Magnoliopsida, Malpighiales, Euphorbiaceae.